This 72-nucleotide transfer RNA is filed under the name Stegodyphus dumicola. RNAcentral describes it as "tRNA-Cys". It matches the Rfam family "tRNA". Rfam says of the family: Transfer RNA (tRNA) molecules are approximately 80 nucleotides in length. Their secondary structure includes four short double-helical elements and three loops (D, anti-codon, and T loops). Further hydrogen bonds mediate the characteristic L-shaped molecular structure. tRNAs have two regions of fundamental functional importance: the anti-codon, which is responsible for specific mRNA codon recognition, and the 3' end, to which the tRNAs corresponding amino acid is attached (by aminoacyl-tRNA synthetases). tRNAs cope with the degeneracy of the genetic code in two manners: having more than one tRNA (with a specific anti-codon) for a particular amino acid; and 'wobble' base-pairing, i.e. permitting non-standard base-pairing at the 3rd anti-codon position. The record is from RNAcentral. Lineage: Eukaryota; Metazoa; Arthropoda; Arachnida; Araneae; Eresidae.
GAAGGUAUAGCUCAGUGGUAGAGCAUUCGACUGCAGAUCGCGAGGCCCCCGGUUCGAACCCGGGUGCUCCCU